CUCAUGACCCUCCCAAGAUGGCGGCGCCGCCCGGAGCUGUUUUUCUCUGUGCGGCGGGCCCGCCCCUAGGGUGCUCGUCGGAGUGAGGGCGGUGGGGGCUGCCAUGGAGGCCCGGGCGGAGGGAGAGGCCGCUGCUGGGAGCCCCCCCAGCCUCUUCGAGCUGAGUGGGGUGGUGGUGAGCUCCGCCAUGGGGACCCUGGAGAGAGAGGUUUGGGCACUCCCUGGACAGAUACUCCAAGGCAUCCUGCCUUUACUUAAUAUCUAUUACCUGGAAAGGAUUGAGGAAACUGCUGUGAAAAAAGGACUCUCAACCCAGCCCAUAUGGCACAAACUCUGGAAUGAUGUGAUGAAAAUCAGACCACCCAAGUCAGAG
Non-coding RNA from Chrysemys picta bellii (western painted turtle), 373 nucleotides. The record is from RefSeq and is a predicted model, not a curated record. NCBI's taxonomy places the organism in Eukaryota, Metazoa, Chordata, Testudines, Emydidae.